CAAUUUCUUCCAUAUUUGAACAACAAGAAAAACUCAACAGAAAAGCAUAAAUGAACAACAAAGAUUACAACCAAAAAGUCAUACGGGGAUGACGGCAAACGACGUUCAAAUCAAAAAGCAACCAAACUCAAAAUAAACAUAAACCUGUUCCUCACUCAACCCAUGGUCAAGAAUGAAUCAUUACCGGUCGCAAUCAAAACGAGAACCACAAGCAUGAUUCGAGAGGAAGACUUACCCGUUACAACAGGAUCAAACAGCGAUUUGAAAAAGGAAAAUACAUUACACCGUGUUGAGUUAGGAUGACGCUUGCAAUAAAAAAUGUUGGUUUAUGAACUAAACUGAUUAUGGUGUGGGAUUGUAGCAGUUUCGACAUGAUUUUGGUUGGUCAUGGCAUGACAGCAAUUGCACACAUAUAAUCCUGUAUGGUGUCAUUAACUCCUCCAAUCUCCUUAUAGGUAUUGUCUAUGUUGCUUAUAGAUUAUGGCUUGGUCAAUAUAAGGUGCAAAUAAUCCAGUGGUUACACUUAGUGCAGCUUUAUAAUAUGAAGCAACAACAACCACCAAUUACAUCAUGAUGUCCCCAAUGUAUUUCGUACAAGAGUGCAUAACGAAAUCAGCACCAAGGGCAAAGGCUUUCUGGUUCAAAGGCGUAACAAGUGUACCAUCAAUGCAGAGCAAAGCCCCAUGCUUGUGGCAAAGUUCUGAAACCAGCUUAAUGUCAACACAACUCAGGAAUGGAUUGGUAGGACACUCAAUGAAGAAUAGUGACACCUUGUUCUACUCCAAUGCAGAUUCCAAGGCUCCAACAUUAGCAGGAUCAAUCACAGAGGCCGUCAUCCCCAUCUUUGAAAGCACAAACUCUAUACAUAUCAUAGUUUUCCUGUAACAAUCAUUUAUAGUCACAAGAUGUCCACCGGCUGGAACCAGCGCCAUGAGCAAAACUAUGCUAGCACACAUUCUAGAUACCAAUAAGACAAUUGACUCAGGCCCUUAUAAUUCACUUAAUUUCUCCUCUAAAACAGUACUGGUUAGAUUCUUGAAAAAGUAGGCAGAAUUGUUCACCACAGGAGUGGUAACUGCAUCAGUCACAAUAGCCUUACCAAGUCUUUCAGCAGCAUGAAUCGUUUUGCUCAUUUUGCGUUUGAGUCGUGUUUGCGUUUUGACUUGGUUGAAACUUAGGGCGUUGGCUCGUUUGGAAGUGAGCUUGUAGCUUAGUACCAUGGAUUUGGGUUUUGGCUUGUAGCUGUUCUACAGCUAAGCCGCGUUUCAGCUGUAGCUGUUGUGUUUCCUGCAGCUACCGCACAUGCAUUCUACAUUUUCCAACUCUAUUUUUUCUUGUGGCUUGUGGUAACUUUGGCUUUUGUUUCA
This is a long non-coding RNA of Lathyrus oleraceus (garden pea), 1367 nucleotides long. RefSeq lists it as uncharacterized. The transcript has 2 exons. The record is from RefSeq and is a predicted model, not a curated record. NCBI's taxonomy places the organism in Eukaryota, Viridiplantae, Streptophyta, Magnoliopsida, Fabales, Fabaceae.